Molecule: non-coding RNA, 380 nt
Organism: Oryctolagus cuniculus (rabbit)
Lineage: Eukaryota; Metazoa; Chordata; Mammalia; Lagomorpha; Leporidae
Source: RefSeq, a predicted model, not a curated record
CUUGUCAGAGGGUGGUGACUUUGGAGACUCCAUGCCCGUGAGGACAACUUCCAGACUGUUCCUUACACAGAAGGAAACAUUGCCUAAAGGAUCAAAUCAAGAAAUUCCCAAGCUUGGACUAAUUCCUCUGAAAUCCGAGGUUAUAGAAGAUUACGCUGGAGAUAUUUGGUCCGAACUACCUUUUGUAAGCAGUGAUGACCCAGCUAUCACCUGUCUUUCUAAGAAGAGAGAGUUUGAUGAGCUCAUACAUUGGCAUUCCUCUCAACCUCUAAGUGAUGAUUUUGAAAGGACAAGAAACAGCGAUAGUGGUGAGUAUAAUUCAUACUAGGGAAUGUUUCCAGCAGUUUUCUUGUUUAAACAAGCAUCAUGUGUAGAAGGGA